UGGGCGUAAGCGCGCGUAGGUGGUUCAGCAAGUUGGAUGUGAAAUCCCCGGGCUCAACCUGGGAACUGCAUCCAAAACUACUGAGCUAGAGUACGGUAGAGGGUGGUGGAAUUUCCUGUGUAGCGGUGAAAUGCGUAGAUAUAGGAAGGAACACCAGUGGCGAAGGCGACCACCUGGACUGAUACUGACACUGAGGUGCGAAAGCGUGGGGAGCAAACAGGAUUAGAUACCC
RNAcentral lists this ribosomal RNA (232 nucleotides) under Pseudomonas aeruginosa. RNAcentral describes it as "partial 16S ribosomal RNA". It matches the Rfam family "Bacterial small subunit ribosomal RNA", at positions 555 to 787 of the family's 1533-position model. The record is from RNAcentral. Lineage: Bacteria; Pseudomonadati; Pseudomonadota; Gammaproteobacteria; Pseudomonadales; Pseudomonadaceae.